RNAcentral lists this unclassified non-coding RNA (323 nucleotides) under Hevea brasiliensis (rubber tree). Lineage: Eukaryota; Viridiplantae; Streptophyta; Magnoliopsida; Malpighiales; Euphorbiaceae. The record is from RNAcentral.
GUGUGAAUAAAGACUUUUUCAGAGUUGAGGAGUUGGGGGGCAUGCCAGCGAAUUGUCAGGCUGCAUAAAGAUUCUUUUUAGCUCAACUCGAGACAAGUUGAAUUCUUGGUAUGUUUUGGCAACUGAUUGACUGAUAAAUAAUCCAUAGUUUUAUAUGCAUAAUGAUAAUUUUGAGCCUAUCUGACCCUGCACACGUGCGCUUUCAAUAGUUAUCCAGUAGCUCUUUCUGGAUCUUGAGUUGGUUUUUAGAAAUUUUUUAGUGCAUGAGGACUGCAAAAUUCAACAGCAGGUGAAGAUUUGGUGCUCCAUUUCUAUUGUUUUUG